Molecule: ribosomal RNA, 469 nt
Filed under: uncultured Syntrophaceae bacterium
Lineage: Bacteria; Pseudomonadati; Thermodesulfobacteriota; Syntrophia; Syntrophales; Syntrophaceae
Description: bacterial SSU rRNA
Rfam family: Bacterial small subunit ribosomal RNA
Source: RNAcentral
AGACGGGGCCCGCACAAGCGGUGGAGCAUGUGGUUUAAUUCGAUGCAACGCGAGAACCUUACCUGGGCUUGACAUCCCAAGAAUCCCCUGGAAACAGGGAGUGCCCUUCGGGGAGCUUGGAGACAGGUGCUGCAUGGCUGUCGUCAGCUCGUGUCGUGAGAUGUUGGGUUAAGUCCCGCAACGAGCGCAACCCUUGCCUUUAGUUGCCAUCAUUCAGUUGGGCACUCUAGAGGGACUGCCGGUGUCAAACCGGAGGAAGGUGGGAUGACGUCAAGUCCUCAUGGCCUUUAUGCCCAGGGCUACACACGUGCUACAAUGGGCGGUACAAAGAGCAGCGAGCUCGCGAGAGUAAGCAAAUCUCAAAAAGCCGUCCUCAGUUCGGAUUGGAGUCUGCAACUCGACUCCAUGAAGUUGGAAUCGCUAGUAAUCGCGGAUCAGAAUGCCACGGUCGAAUACGUUCCCGGGCCUU